UGAGCCAAGUUUAGGGUUUUCUCAAAACCCAAGCAGUAUUGAACUGAAGAGUUUGAUCAUGGCUCAGAUUGAACGCUGGCGGCAGGCCUAACACAUGCAAGUCGAGCGGAUGAAGGGAGCUUGCUCCUGGAUUCAGC
This 137-nucleotide ribosomal RNA is filed under the name Pseudomonas aeruginosa. Its description in RNAcentral is "partial 16S ribosomal RNA". The stretch from base 41 to 137 matches the Rfam family "Bacterial small subunit ribosomal RNA", at positions 1 to 96 of the family's 1533-position model. Lineage: Bacteria; Pseudomonadati; Pseudomonadota; Gammaproteobacteria; Pseudomonadales; Pseudomonadaceae. The record is from RNAcentral.